CACGCCGUAAACGAUGUCCGCUGGGCGCUUGACCUUGCGUUGGGUGCCGAAGCUAACGCAUUAAGCGGACCGCCUGGGGAGUACGCCCGCAAGGGUGAAACUCAAAGGAAUUGACGGGGGCCCGCACAAGCGGUGGAGCAUGUGGUUUAAUUCGAAGCAACGCGAGAAACCUUACCAGGUCUUGACAUGAGAUUGCCGCUGCGAGAGAUCGCAGUUUCUAGGGCAACCUAGACGAUCUACACAGGUGU
RNAcentral lists this ribosomal RNA (248 nucleotides) under uncultured bacterium. RNAcentral describes it as "partial 16S ribosomal RNA". It matches the Rfam family "Bacterial small subunit ribosomal RNA", at positions 796 to 1041 of the family's 1533-position model. The record is from RNAcentral.